This 1546-nucleotide long non-coding RNA is filed under the name Panax ginseng (ginseng). RNAcentral's name for it is "long non-coding RNA (PGIN_LNC018108)". Lineage: Eukaryota; Viridiplantae; Streptophyta; Magnoliopsida; Apiales; Araliaceae. The record is from RNAcentral.
AUAACCAACAAGUUAAAUCACUAGUACAAUUAUAACUUUAACUCGUAUCAAAAUUGGAAAGUAAUUAAACUCUAUUGUGCUUCAACAUAGUCACCAACCUGAUGAAUACUUAUACUAUAUGUAGCUUCGACUAAUAGCAAGAUUGGGAAGUAGGGGGGGGGAGGGGGGGGAAUAUUAACGACAGAGAAAAAAUAUGCAUACAAUUAUUUCGAAAUUCACUUUUACUUGGAUAUGGCCCUAUGAGCUGUGCUUUUGGAGGCAAAGGUACAAAUUCAUCCAUAAAAGUCCUGACCCAAAUAAAUACCCUGUGAUAAUACCAUUAAAAUUUCGGUAUGCUUUAACACAACUACCAGCAGAUAAAGAGCCCACAAGAUUGGGAACAAUCAGUAAUAUAUAUGGAGAUGUAUUAACUGAUUGGUAGCAUAAAUACCCAAUAGUCAAGGCAAAGUAGAAGCAUUUAAGAACAAGCUGACUAAAAUGAAUAGCCUAGAUUCAGUAGAUAAAAUUCUGUUGGAAAUAGAACAAUGAUUUUUAUUUUUUUGACAAGUAAAAUUUAUUUAGAACAAGCUGCCAAAAAGGGGAUGGCUCCCAGGUACACGGAGAGUAUACAAAAGUAAAGAGACUACGCUCAAAAGACCGCAAAGAAAUUAGGGAGAAAAUUCAUACUUCAUUGUUUUCAUCAAAACCUCACUAGUGAAUACAGAUCAUCGUAUUAUCUACACUGCUAGAAGAUGAAAAGUUAACAAACUAGUCAUCCAAGUUGAACAACACGAGGGCUAAACAACUGUAGCAUAUAUAUCAAGUAGCAGGAUUAGAAGUUUAACAAAGCAAGUAACAUAUUCAUAACUUUACAAAGCUAACACCUGUUCACAAUGAAAUUUAUUCCUCUUCCAUAAAUCAAUACACUACAAUUUUUCCAAUUAUAAAGAAUAAACCCUAGAUUUCUUACUUGACAACCCAUAUGAUGAAAACUCAUAAAGAACAAACCCUAGAUUUCUAAUGCGACAAACAUAAAUUUCAAACCCAAGUUUAACUUUACCUUACGUCUGAUACAGUAUCGCGUGAGUAAGAGGUGGAAGGGUUGGAGAGAGAAAAAUCGAUUUGCUUGGCUUUCUCUCUUGCAGCAAACUUCAUUCUUGAUUUUGGGAGAGCCUUAGAAACAGGGCGAAUCGAUUUUUCUGUCUUGCGAUUUUGAGAUUUAGCUCUUCGAUUUUGGCAGUGGACGAUUUCAAGGGAGAAGAUUUUGGCAGUGAAGCUCAGCCACUGUAGUCUGUAGCGAGAUGCUCUUCCUUUGUGUCUUUGUUUUAUCGACUUAGUGAGGAGAGAGUAAUAAAAGACCGGGUUUUUAAAAGAGAAUGCUCUUUAAGGACAGAGUGCUCGUUUAGGAGAGUGCUCCUGAUCGGGGCUGUAUAUAUAUAUAUAUAUAUACGGAGAGGAUUAAGAGCACUCUCCUUAAAUAGCACUCCGCCUUAAAUAGCACUCUUUUAUCAAAACGACGUAGUUUUGAAGGGACGCGGUGACAUUUUUAUAAAUAGCACUCUUGAUC